ACCUUUACACUGCGGGAAACCGCGAUAAGGGGACCCCGAGUGCCAGCAUCUAAUGCUGGCUGUCCCGCUGUCCAAACAACAGCGGUUAGCAAGGGCCGGGCAAGACCGGUGCCAGUCGCCGCGGUAACACCGGCGGCCCGAGUGGUAGCCGUUAUUAUUGGGUUUAAAGGGCCCGUAGCCGGCCUAUUAAGUCUCUUGGGAAAUCUGGCGGCUUAAUCGUCAGGCGGCCAAGAGAUACUGGUAGGCUUGGGACCGGGAGAGGUGGGAGGUACUCCAGGGGUAGGGGUGAAAUCUCGUAAUCCUUGGGGGACCACCGAUGGCGAAGGCAUCCCACCAGAACGGGCCCGACGGUGAGGGACGAAAGCUGGGGGCACGAACCGGAUUAGAUACCCGGGUAGUCCCAGCUGUAAACGAUGCUCGCUAGGUGUCAGGUGUGGUGCGACCGCAUCUGGUGCCGCAGUGAAAACUUGAAGCGAGUCACCUGGGAAGUACGGUCGCAAGGCUGAAACUUAA
Molecule: ribosomal RNA, 513 nt
Filed under: uncultured archaeon
Lineage: Archaea
Description: bacterial SSU rRNA
Rfam family: Archaeal small subunit ribosomal RNA
Source: RNAcentral